CCCAGGUACACCACUACAGCAGCUCCCGCCCCGCAUCACGGCCUUCCAUUCCCCAAUCUAGGGUGCGAGCUCCCCGCCACCGCCGGCCGUGCCCGAUGCGGACGUCGACGUCGAGAUGCGCGCCGCCGCCGCCGCCGGAGCCUCAGCCGCACCUGGCGACGACGAUGGCGAGGACGGCACCGGGGAGGAUGAGGAGGACGGAGAGGAGGUCGAUGACGAGGACGAGGACGAGGAUGAGGAGGAGCGGACCGCGCCGGCGCCGGCCGAGGAGCCUCCCGCCCCGGCGCCCGUCUCGGCCUUGCCGGGAAACCCGAACCAGCUGACGCUUCUCUUCCAGGGCGAAGUCUACGUGUUCGAAUCCGUCACCCCCGACAAGGUUGAAUCUGUCCUGUCCCUGUUAGGACGUGGUGAACUACCAGCUGAUUAUGCUGGCAAGGUUGUACCUAGUCAAAAUGAGAACAAGGGUUAUGAUGACAUACUUCGGAGGACAGACAUUCCUGCAAAAAGGGUUGCCUCUCUACUCAGGUUCCAUGAAAAACGGAAGGAAAGAAAUUUUGAUAAGAAAAUACGCUAUGCUGUUCACAAAGAAGUUGCACUCAGGAUGCAGCGCCGGAAAGGGCAAUUUGCUGGAAGGGCCAGUCUUGAGGGAGAAUCUCCAGCUCCUGGCUGUGAUCCUGGUUCCCAAAGCUCAGGCCUAGAUUUCGUAUCACGUGAAUCAAAGUGUCAGAACUGCGGUACUAGUGAAAAGAUGACCCCAGCAAUGCGUCGUGGUCCUGCUGGUCCAAGGACUUUGUGCAAUGCUUGUGGAUUGAUGUGGGCAAACAAGGAUUUGACUGCUGAUUCUUACAUAUGUAUUUGUUUUUUAUGGAAGUGGACAUCUUAUUGGACUUGCAGCUACCAAUUCACCUUUGGUAACUGCAGGGUACACUGAGAAGUUGUCCCAAGGCAAAAGUCGAAUCUCCUGUGGUUGGAAUUGGGCAGGUUGGAAAUGACAACAAAGUGCUGGUGACACCGAAGAAUGACAACGCUUCUGUUUCUGCAAGCAACAGCGAAGCCACAGUUGCAGCAGAGAGGAGCGCCAAAGGCGCCGUGACAGUAUAUAACACAUGAUUGUUGAAGACAAAGAUCUGGAAUUCUUUGCCUAUAGCUAGACAAGACACCUCGGUAGAAAGCUCUGCUAAUGCGGAAUACUGAUUCUCGUCAAGUGUACAUUCAUUCCUUGCUUGACAGUGUUAGGCAUGUAAUUAACAUAAGGCAUCCGAUUGAUGUAUGUUGUGUAUUUUUUAUUCAAAUCAUGUAUGUUGUGUAAACUGUAAGCCAGAUGGCAUCUGUUGUAUUACAUUUGCUGCUUUCCUGAGCAUGUGACAUUCACAUAAGCCAUAAUAGAGGAUUCUCAUUUCCCGUUGA
RNA transcript from Panicum virgatum (switchgrass), 1407 nucleotides. It is a transcript of the gene named GATA transcription factor 18-like, with no coding region annotated. The record is from RefSeq and is a predicted model, not a curated record. NCBI's taxonomy places the organism in Eukaryota, Viridiplantae, Streptophyta, Magnoliopsida, Poales, Poaceae. The transcript has 8 exons.